AAGAACUGGAACCCCUUUCGAAAAUAUAGAAAUAAUUUAUAAAAGAUAUUUUUUGUAGUAAUGUAAUAAAACAAAGAACACUCUGUUUAAACGCGACGUUUAUAUACGGUCUAUGAGAGCUAGCAUAUGCAAAUGGAAAUGAAUACAAAAUAUUUUACACACAUGAAAAUAAAAUGUAUAUUAUGUGUUGCUACAAUUUGACAGAUUACUUUUCAAAUAUUUUAAUUUUUACCUCUGCCUUUGUUUACCUCAAUCAGCUGUGAAUUGUAUGGUGAUGAUAAUAUUUUAACUAUUUAAGAACGUAGGUCAAUGAUAAUAAAGAAUUAAAACGUAGGUAGGCACAUUAUAUUUGUUUUGUUGUUUAAUGUAAUAUUUAUUUUUCUAUUUACUUUAAGUGUAAAUUAUGUGUGGUGUGUCAUGUGUGCUGUGUAUAGGUCCCAUACAUAUUUUAGAUUACUUCAUGUACCUUUGUGAAAAUAGCGAAACUCGACAAAAAGUGUCUAAUAAGUUUGUACAAAAUGUAGGGGCUCAAUUCAAUUUUUAUUACUUAAUUGUUUAUUUAUUUCCAGCAUUGGUAGCGAUGCUAAUGGCUCAAAUCAAAAUGCAAUAAAAGAAGAAUAAGUUAUAUCAUAUUUCAUUGUUAAUAAUAGCUUAAAGUUUACCUAGUUAUCAUGCAUUGUUUUGUAUUUUAGCUAGGUAUUUAAAAUAGUUACUAAAAUUUUCAAGAAUGAUGGAGAUAUUCUUUUUCAUAUAUUUCUACACAGUUCAUACUUCAUACAUACUCUACGUAGUAAAAAUCAUUCAGUAAGAUAUAUAUCUAAAUCUAAUACAAGAAUAAGGUGAUAAUAUUUUAAUUCACUGCAGAAUACUUAUUAGUGGUUACUGGUGGAUAUAUAUACUGAUUUUACCUGCUUGACUACUUCAGCAGAUCAUUGGAAAAAAUAAAGGCUGCUCGAUGUCUUCUUAUGGAAAAAUGGGAACUUCAAGAAAAAAGGAAAACCUGAGAAGAAUAACUAUAUUUAAUUGGACAAACACACAAAGAUGGUGUAUAUUUUAAUUAAAAAGUGGUUCAGUAAAGUGGGAGGAUUGUUUACAAAUGCCUGUUGAGUGCUAAAAGAGCAGAGGGCAAAAGAUAUAUAAAUGGAGUGAGAUUAGCAGUGAGAGUUGACUCACAAGGGUGGUCGGCCUUCAUUAGCGGUGAGACAAGAAAAAAUAAUAUUAAGAACUGUUUAUGUGAAGAAUUUACUAUCCAUCAAUGGGAAAUACGAGAAAUCAAAAAAAAAAUACGAAUAUAUUUGGAACGUGACAAUUGGAAUUGAAUAUGUAAGCAAUAAGUAUUGGAUAUUAUUGUUAUGAGAAUAAUAAAAAUUGAAUCAUU
This is a long non-coding RNA of Leptidea sinapis, 1378 nucleotides long. RefSeq lists it as uncharacterized. The transcript is spliced from 5 exons. Lineage: Eukaryota; Metazoa; Arthropoda; Insecta; Lepidoptera; Pieridae. The record is from RefSeq and is a predicted model, not a curated record.